UGGGGAAUUUUGCACAAUGGGGGAAACCCUGAUGCAGCGACGCCGCGUGAUUUAGAAGGCCUUCGGGUUGUAAAAAUCUUUUGUACAGGAAGAAAAUGACAGUACUGUACGAAUAAGGUCCGGCUAAUUACGUGCCAGCAGCCGCGGUAAUACGUAAGGACCGAGCGUUGUCCGGAAUCAUUGGGCGUAAAGGGUACGUAGGCGGCCCGUUAAGUUAGGAGUGAAAGGCUAUAGCUCAACUAUAGUAAGCUUUUAAAACUGGCGGGCUUGAGAGAUUGAGGGGAAAGUGGAAUUCCUAGUGUAGCGGUGAAAUGCGCAGAUAUUAGGAGGAAUACCAGUGGCGAAGGCGACUUUCUGGCAAUUUUCUGACGCUGAGGUACGAAAGCGUGGGUAGCAAACAGG
RNAcentral lists this ribosomal RNA (402 nucleotides) under uncultured bacterium. Its description in RNAcentral is "bacterial SSU rRNA". It matches the Rfam family "Bacterial small subunit ribosomal RNA", at positions 355 to 776 of the family's 1533-position model. The record is from RNAcentral.